CAGUUUCUUCAAAAUGUAUUCAGUAUUGAGACGCUUGUUAAACCUCUUCCUCCUCCAAUGGCAGAAAAUGUUGCUCGCAACUUGAGUUUCUUUAGGCGUAUCUUCACACAAUUUUCUGAACCAGAAGGAAUUUCAAAGGCUCAAAAAUCACUUGGACUCGGGAGAGAAGAGAAAUAUCGUCAAGUUCGUUAAAUUAUUUUGCACAACAGUUGAUAAUAUAUAGAACAUGUCAAGCUGUGGUAUUGUUGCAACUUUUGGAUUCACAUUCUGCAUGGCUAUAGCCUAUAUUAACAGGAAAAUAAUACACUUUGUUGAUAAUUUAUUUAUUCAGAUAAAAUUUUAUAUUCAUUGAUUAAUUCUAAUCAACUUUUUAACUUGCAAGUCACAGAUUAA
This is a long non-coding RNA of Daucus carota subsp. sativus, 393 nucleotides long. RefSeq lists it as uncharacterized. NCBI's taxonomy places the organism in Eukaryota, Viridiplantae, Streptophyta, Magnoliopsida, Apiales, Apiaceae. The record is from RefSeq and is a predicted model, not a curated record. The transcript has 2 exons.